AUUAACGCUAGCGGCAGGCAUAAUACCUGCAAGUUGAACGGCAGCACAGGUAGCAAUACUGGGUGGCGAGUGGCGCACGGGUGCGUAACACGUAUGCAACCUACCCUAUACAGGCGAAUAACCUUUAGAAAUGAGGGCUAAUACGCCGUAGUAUUACAGAUGGGCAUCUAUUUGUAAUUAAAGAUUUAUCGGUAUAGGAUGGGCAUGCGUCGCAUUAGUUAGUUGGUAAGGUAACGGCUUACCAAGACGAUGAUGGGUAGGAGAUCUGAGAGGAUGUACCGCCACACUGGAACUGAGACACGGUCCAGACUCCUACGGGAGGCAGCAGUAGGGAAUCUUCAGCAAUGGGCGAAAGCCUGACGGAGCAACGCUGAGGGAGUGAGGAAGGUCUUCGGAUCGUAAAACUCUGUUAUUAGGGAAGAAAAGAUGUGGAAGUAACUGUGCACCGCUUGACGGUACCUAAUAAGAAAGCCACGGCUAACUACGUG
RNAcentral lists this ribosomal RNA (488 nucleotides) under uncultured bacterium. RNAcentral's name for it is "partial 16S ribosomal RNA". It matches the Rfam family "Bacterial small subunit ribosomal RNA", at positions 29 to 507 of the family's 1533-position model. The record is from RNAcentral.